UUCAUGGAGAGUUUGAUCCUGGCUCAGGACGAACGCUGGCGGCGUGCCUAAUACAUGCAAGUCGAGC
RNAcentral lists this ribosomal RNA (67 nucleotides) under Bacillus licheniformis. Its description in RNAcentral is "partial 16S ribosomal RNA". It matches the Rfam family "Bacterial small subunit ribosomal RNA", at positions 1 to 67 of the family's 1533-position model. Lineage: Bacteria; Bacillati; Bacillota; Bacilli; Caryophanales; Bacillaceae. The record is from RNAcentral. RNAcentral also lists the same sequence under 2 other names.